GCAGCCUGAUGCAGCGACGCCGCGUGAGGGAUGACGGCCUUCGGGUUGUAAACCUCUUUCAGUAGGGAAGAAGCGAAAGUGACGGUACCUGCAGAAGAAGCGCCGGCUAACUACGUGCCAGCAGCCGCGGUAAUACGUAGGGCGCAAGCGUUAUCCGGAAUUAUUGGGCGUAAAGAGCUCGUAGGCGGUUUGUCGCGUCUGCCGUGAAAGUCCGGGGCUCAACUCCGGAUCUGCGGUGGGUACGGGCAGACUAGAGUGAUGUAGGGGAGACUGGAAUUCCUGGUGUAGCGGUGAAAUGCGCAGAUAUCAGGAGGAACACCGAUGGCGAAGGCAGGUCUCUGGGCAUUAACUGACGCUGAGGAGCGAAAGCAUGGGGAGCGAACAGGAUUAGAUACCCUGGUAGUCCAUGCCGUAAACGUUGGGCACUAGGUGUGGGGGACAUUCCACGUUUUCCGCGCCGUAGCUAACGCAUUAAGUGCCCCGCCUGGGGAGUACGGCCGCAAGGCUAAAACUCAAAGGAAUUGACGGGGGCCCGCACAAGCGGCGGAGCAUGCGGAUUAAUUCGAUGCAACGCGAAGAACCUUACCAAGGCUUGACAUGAACCGGAAAGACCUGGAAACAGGUUCCCCACUUGUG
Molecule: ribosomal RNA, 636 nt
Filed under: Arthrobacter sp. Se2Pt_443
Lineage: Bacteria; Bacillati; Actinomycetota; Actinomycetes; Micrococcales; Micrococcaceae
Description: bacterial SSU rRNA
Rfam family: Bacterial small subunit ribosomal RNA
Source: RNAcentral